GAUGAACGCUAGCGGCAGGCCUAAUACAUGCAAGACGAACGGUAAGUUGAGUAGCAAUACUUAGCCAAGAGUGUCGUACGGGUGCGUAACACGUAUGCAACCUACCCUAUACAGGAGGAUAGCCUAGGGAAACCUGGAUUAACCCUUCAUAGUAUUAUUGGAUGGCAUCAUUUGAUAAUUAAAACUGAGGUGGUAUAGGAUGGGCAUGCGUCUGAUUAGUUAGUUGGCGGGGUAAUGGCCCACCAAGACGAUGAUCAGUAGGGGUUCUGAGAGGAAGAUCCCCCACACUGGCACUGAGAUACGGGCCAGACUCCUACGGGAGGCAGCAGUGGGGAAUAUUGCGCAAUGGGCGAAAGCCUGACGCAGCGACGCCGCGUGGGUGAUGAAGGCCUGGUCGUAA
This 400-nucleotide ribosomal RNA is filed under the name uncultured bacterium. RNAcentral describes it as "bacterial SSU rRNA". It matches the Rfam family "Bacterial small subunit ribosomal RNA", at positions 28 to 428 of the family's 1533-position model. The record is from RNAcentral.